Molecule: ribosomal RNA, 256 nt
Filed under: uncultured bacterium
Lineage: Bacteria
Description: partial 16S ribosomal RNA
Rfam family: Bacterial small subunit ribosomal RNA
Source: RNAcentral
UACGGGGGGGAGCAAGCGUUGUUCGGAUUUACUGGGCGUAAAGGGCGCGUAGGCGGUCAGCACAAGUCAAUUGUGAAAAUCUCCGAGCUUAACUCGGAAAGGUCAACUGAAACUGUGCGACUAGAGUGCGGAAGGGGCAACUGGAAUUCUUGGUGUAGCGGUGAAAUGCGUAGAUAUCAAGAGGAACACCUGCGGCGAAGGCGGGUUGCUGGGCCGACACUGACGCUGAAGCGCGAAAGCCAGGGGAGCGAACGGG